AUUGAACGCUGGCGGCAGGCCUAACACAUGCAAGUCGAGCGGAUGAAGGGAGCUUGCUCCUGGAUUCAGCGGCGGACGGGUGAGUAAUGCCUAGGAAUCUGCCUGGUAGUGGGGGAUAACGUCCGGAAACGGGCGCUAAUACCGCAUACGUCCUGAGGGAGAAAGUGGGGGAUCUUCGGACCUCACGCUAUCAGAUGAGCCUAGGUCGGAUUAGCUAGUUGGUGGGGUAAAGGCCUACCAAGGCGACGAUCCGUAACUGGUCUGAGAGGAUGAUCAGUCACACUGGAACUGAAGCACGGUCCAGACUCCUACGGGAGGCAGCAGUGGGGAAUAUUGGACAAUGGGCGAAAGCCUGAUCCAGCCAUGCCGCGUGUGUGAAGAAGGUCUUCGGAUUGUAAAGCACUUUAAGGUGGGAGGAAGGGCAGUAAGUUAAUACCUUGCUGUUUUGACGUUACCAACAGAAUAAGCACCGGCUAACUUCGUG
RNAcentral lists this ribosomal RNA (484 nucleotides) under uncultured bacterium. RNAcentral's name for it is "partial 16S ribosomal RNA". It matches the Rfam family "Bacterial small subunit ribosomal RNA", at positions 30 to 507 of the family's 1533-position model. The record is from RNAcentral.